UAUUGGUCAAUGGGCGGGAGCCUGAACCAGCCAAGCCGCGUGAGGGAAGAAGGUACAGCGUAUCGUAAACCUCUUUUGUCAGGGAACAAAGGCGGGGACUAGUCCCCGGAUGAGGGUACCUGAAGAAAAAGCAUCGGCUAACUCCGUGCCAGCAGCCGCGGUAAUACGGAGGAUGCGAGCGUUAUCCGGAUUUAUUGGGUUUAAAGGGUGCGCAGGCGGUCUGUUAAGUCAGCGGUCAAAGCCCGGGGCUCAACCCCGGUCCGCCGUUGAAACUGGCAGUCUCGAGUUGGAGAGAAGUAUGCGGAAUGCGCGGUGUAGCGGUGAAAUGCAUAGGUAUCGCGCAGAACUCCGAUUGCGAAGGCAGCAUGCCGGCUCCACACUGACGCUGAGGCACGAAAGCGUGGGUAUCG
This 410-nucleotide ribosomal RNA is filed under the name uncultured bacterium. RNAcentral describes it as "bacterial SSU rRNA". It matches the Rfam family "Bacterial small subunit ribosomal RNA", at positions 362 to 770 of the family's 1533-position model. The record is from RNAcentral.